This 429-nucleotide ribosomal RNA is filed under the name Fusobacteriota bacterium. RNAcentral's name for it is "Fusobacteria bacterium partial 16S ribosomal RNA". It matches the Rfam family "Bacterial small subunit ribosomal RNA", at positions 355 to 776 of the family's 1533-position model. The record is from RNAcentral. Lineage: Bacteria; Fusobacteriati; Fusobacteriota.
UGGGGAAUAUUGCGCAAUGGGCGAAAGCCUGACGCAGCGACGCCGCGUGAGGGAUGAAGGUUUUCGGAUCGUAAACCUCUGUCAGAAGGGAAGAAACCGCACUGUGCUAAUCAGCAGUGCCUUGACGGUACCUUCAAAGGAAGCACCGGCUAACUCCGUGCCAGCAGCCGCGGUAAUACGGAGGGUGCAAGCGUUAAUCGGAAUUACUGGGCGUAAAGCGCACGUAGGCUGCUUUGUAAGUCAGGGGUGAAAUCCCACGGCUCAACCGUGGAACUGCCUUUGAUAAUGCUUAGCUUGAAUCCGGGAGAGGGUGGCGGAAUUCCAGGUGUAGGAGUGAAAUCCGUAGAUAUCUGGAGGAACAUCAGUGGCGAAGGCGGCCACCUGGACCGGUAUUGACGCUGAGGUGCGAAAGCGUGGGGAGCAAACAGG